AAGACCGAACACGGGAGCUCGAUGGCAACGAGCUGAGAUCCGCGCUGAAACCCGCGCGCCAACCGUUUGAACCUGUCUGGUUAGCACCAGCGAAGGAAGUAUCAGGAGUGUCCCU
This 115-nucleotide non-coding RNA is filed under the name Corynebacterium falsenii. Its description in RNAcentral is "TPP sequence". It matches the Rfam family "TPP riboswitch aptamer (THI element)". Rfam says of the family: Vitamin B(1) in its active form thiamin pyrophosphate (TPP) is an essential coenzyme that is synthesised by coupling of pyrimidine and thiazole moieties in bacteria. The previously detected thiamin-regulatory element, thi box was extended, resulting in a new, highly conserved RNA secondary structure, the THI element, which is widely distributed in eubacteria and also occurs in some archaea. Lineage: Bacteria; Bacillati; Actinomycetota; Actinomycetes; Mycobacteriales; Corynebacteriaceae. The record is from Rfam by way of RNAcentral.